AGUAAGUUGUUAAAUUUUGGGCCCAGGAAAGUGAAGUUAUUCGUAUAAUGAAGAAUUGAGCUCUUGCCAUUGAACUUGGACCCUUGGUACAGGGAUGACAGGGAGAAUUGUCAGAUUUCCAGGCGUCCUUUGCCCGCUUGAUAAGUAUUACAAGACCUGAAGGCCAUGGUAGAGAGCAGCCAAGGAUGAGACAUGAAGCAAACGGCCAGGGUAGAAAGGAGGAAGCCCUGUUGUCCUUUUUGAUGUCCCAAGUAGGAAGCAGUCUGUGGUGAGUCACCGCUGCCUGAUCACUUAUGAGGAGGUGAGGACCCCAGGGGAGGGCAGGGGGCCUGUUCAGAGAUCUACAUGGAUCCACUUUGGACAUCAGUCAGCCUCCACCAGACACUGACCAGAGUAACGGUUCCAGCAGGCAGCCCUAAGCAUGCCACUCCUUCCCUGGUCCUGAGGCCCUGCUGAGCCCUCCAGCCAGCCCCACAUCUCUCUCCUGGGCCCUCCUCACUCUGCUCCCUCUUCACUGCUGUGCUUGUCUGGAUGCCACACACUGUCACCUGCCUUCCUGCUUUUGUCCACACAUUGUCUCCUGCUUGGUAGGCCCUUGCUGUCCUGUCCAGCUGGCAGAACAUACCCAUCCUUCACAUGGCUGCACAAGCUAUGUUUCUUUCGUGUUGCUCUCCUGAACACUUGCAAGUCUAACUUUGAGCCCAGCAGUUUCCAGGGCUGACAGUUGCCUGCUGCUCUCAAUACCUCUGCCCCCUGCAUCUCACUUGUUUUUCUCCAUCACUGGAUGUCAGGGACCUGAAUUUAUGCACUUUAUAGCCACAUCCUUGGUGUAAGGCAUGCUGCCUAGUCAACACUCAAAAACAAAACAAAGCAAAAGCAAAAGCAAAAACAAAAACAAAAAACAACAACCUAAAAAUUAUCAACCGAGAAAAUUAGGAGAAACUAAAAAGGAACAAAGGCCUUUAUUUGGGAUCCCAGAAUUGCUGUUUGAGGAGCACAGUUUCUAGGAUAACCAGGAAAGUGUCUGGUUCACAUAGGGCAUUUUAUGAGAGAGAAGGAAGGAGUCAUUAUAUGAUUCAGAUAAAGAAAUGGAAAAACAACAACAAAAAAAACCCCUGUGAAUUUGGUGUUGAGCGGCUGAGCCACUUCUGAUUAAUCUUAUUGAUUAUUUUACCAGUGCUAUCAAAUGAAACUGUCCCUGGUAUGCAUUAAUUAACUUUACUGUCCCCUUAUGGUUCGAUUGCCAGUUGCCCUGUUGAAAUUUUAUGAGCAACUGUCUUGCAAGACAAUUGCUACUUCUGGCCCGUUUCGAGAGUUCAUCAGUUGGGAAAGAAAACGGAGCUUCAAAUGGAGUCUCUUAUGUUCAGACAUUUCCUACAAUUCCACAGAAUGAAUGCAUGCCCCUUCCAUGCUGUCCCUCUGUGUCCCUGGGCUGCAGGUAACUACUCAAGGAUGCCAAGAGUUGCUAAAUCUUUAGUCCAGUUCCUCACUUUAGAUAUAAGGAAACCAAGACCCAGAGGGAGGAAGGACUUGCCCAAGGUCACACUGCUGGUGACAGAGUUCAGACUAGAGCCCAAGGUCACACCGUUGGUGACAAGAGUUUACACUGGAGUCCAAGGUCACACAGUCAGUGACAGAGUUCACACUGGAAUCCAGAUAUCCUGUCUCCCUAUCUGGUGCCCCUUUCCCUUUACCAUGCUUCGUGGAGUGGCUUCUCCCUUGGGGACAUGGCAAUUUUAUGCUUAGUCAUCGGACCUUGUGGAAUGCAUAGGUUGUCCUCAAGGGGACAGAGGGGCCCUCUGAGGAAGACCUCCUGCUAAUGAUGGAGGAGGAAGGAAGUAUGAAGUCAUAAGAAUUGCCACAAUCCCUGGUUUCCACAAGUGAAACCUGGGGAGGCUGAGCCCUGCCCUAGAGCAGUGUUUUGAGGGUAGGCAAUGGGCAUGUGGGAGGUGCAGGCAAGACCUUUCCUAACCUACCACAUGACCUUUCCAGGCUCAUCUUCCCUGCACCAGCCCUGACAGCUCAUGCUCCAGCCACAUCUGGCGCCUCACCUGUCCUGGCCAUUCCCAUCCCCUUUACUCAGAGCACCUUUGCAUUCAGGCUAUUUCCUCAGCCUGAGCUAGCUUUUCCUCUCAAUCCAACAAUUGCAAGCCCAGCCCACCUUCUGGGUCCACCUCAAAGACCACUUGCUCUAAGUCCUCCCUGAUUCCCCUCCUUUCUGUGUCUCACACAGUUUGCGCACUCUCGUUAGGCAUGGCUUGGUAAUUUCUAUCUGGAUACAUGUCCCUCUUCUCUUUACCCUGUGGGCUUGAGGACAGAGAUCCUACUUGUUGAUAUGGUGUCCCUCAUAGCACUCAGUAAGCCUCAGGGGGAUAGCAGACGCUUCAUCUUCAUCAGGUCCGGGUCCGUGGUAAACAAGAAGUGAGGUUUCCUGGGACAGCCUCCAGGUCAAAGGUCCAGAUGGAAGGGGAACACUGCUGUUGCUUCCAAAAGCAGCAAUCAUCUGUUUUGCAGAGCUCACGCCCGGUCAGUUGCCCCCUCUCCUUGAUUCUCAUCUGACUAUUUUGGCCUCUCUCCUUGGCACACUUCCACCGUCCCCAGGCUGGGGCCCACCCUCUGCCUCUCUAGCAGCUGACCUGGCCUCUCCAGAUGUUUGUUUUGCCUGCAGGAUUGAGGAGUCUGAACAUUGCUUUUGCAACACAAGCCCCAGGUGGCUGUGUGACCUUGGCAGGCUACUUUACCCCUCUGAGCCUCGCAGUUCUUCACUGGUGAGGGUCACCUGACUCCCGGGGCUGCUGUGAAGUUCAGAUGAACGAAGGCAUGAGAUGGGCCAAGCACUGUGGUCUGAUACACAAGAGAACACGAGUGGAGAAGGGGAGAGGGAGAGAGACA
Lynx canadensis (Canada lynx) is the source of this 2892-nucleotide long non-coding RNA. RefSeq lists it as uncharacterized. Lineage: Eukaryota; Metazoa; Chordata; Mammalia; Carnivora; Felidae. The record is from RefSeq and is a predicted model, not a curated record. The transcript has 3 exons.